UACGUAGGGGGCAAGCGUUGUCCGGAUUUAUUGGGCGUAAAGAGCGUGUAGGCGGCUAGGUAGGUCCGUUGUGAAAACUCGAGGCUCAACCUCGAGACGUCGAUGGAAACCAUCUAGCUAGAGUCCGGAAGAGGAGAGUGGAAUUCCAGGUGUAGCGGUGAAAUGCGUAGAUAUCUGGAGGAACACCGGUGGCGAAGGCGGCAUCCUGGACCGGUAUUGACGCUGAGGAGCGAAAGCCAGGGGAGCAAACGGG
RNAcentral lists this ribosomal RNA (253 nucleotides) under uncultured bacterium. Its description in RNAcentral is "partial 16S ribosomal RNA". It matches the Rfam family "Bacterial small subunit ribosomal RNA", at positions 524 to 776 of the family's 1533-position model. The record is from RNAcentral.